UGGUGGGUAGUUUGACUGGGGCGGUCUCCUCCUAAAGAGUAACGGAGGAGCACGAAGGUUGGCUAAUCCUGGUCGGACAUCAGGAGGUUAGUGCAAUGGCAUAAGCCAGCUUGACUGCGAGCGUGACGGCGCGAGCAGGUGCGAAAGCAGGUCAUAGUGAUCCGGUGGUUCUGAAUGGAAGGGCCAUCGCUCAACGGAUAAAAGGUACUCCGGGGAUAACAGGCUGAUACCGCCCAAGAGUUCAUAUCGACGGCGGUGUUUGGCACCUCGAUGUCGGCUCAUCACAUCCUGGGGCUGAAGUAGGUCCCAAGGGUAUGGCUGUUCGCCAUUUAAAGUGGUACGCGAGCUGGGUUUAGAACGUCGUGAGACAGUUCGGUCCCUAUCUGCCGUGGGCGCUGGAGAACUGAGGGGGGCUGCUCCUAGUACGAGAGGACCGGAGUGGACGCAUCACUGGUGUUCGGGUUGUCAUGCCAAUGGCACUGCCCGGUAGCUAAAUGCGGAAGAGAUAAGUGCUGAAAGCAUCUAAGCACGAAACUUGCCCCGGGAUGAGUUCUCCCUGAGACUUAGAGUCUCCUGAAGGAACGUUGAAGACGACGACGUUGAUAGGCCGGGUGUGUAAGCGCAGCGAUGCGUUGAGCUAACCGGUACUAAUGAACCGUGAGGCUUAACCUUACA
This 675-nucleotide ribosomal RNA is filed under the name Salmonella enterica subsp. enterica serovar Paratyphi B. Its description in RNAcentral is "partial 23S ribosomal RNA". It matches the Rfam family "Bacterial large subunit ribosomal RNA", at positions 2259 to 2925 of the family's 2925-position model. Lineage: Bacteria; Pseudomonadati; Pseudomonadota; Gammaproteobacteria; Enterobacterales; Enterobacteriaceae. The record is from RNAcentral. RNAcentral also lists the same sequence under 1 other name.